Molecule: RNA transcript, 2922 nt
Organism: Homo sapiens (human)
Lineage: Eukaryota; Metazoa; Chordata; Mammalia; Primates; Hominidae
Exons: 3
Source: RefSeq, a predicted model, not a curated record
CAUCUGACCUCAGGUGAUCCACCCAUCUCGGCCUCCCAAAGUGCUGGGAUUACAGGCGUGAGCCACCCUGCCCAGCCCAAUUAUAGAUUUUUUAGGUUUAGGUGUUGACAGUAGCUCUCACCUCAGCCUGUUCUCUCUCCUUGUCAUGCAGCCCACAGGGGAGAUGGUCAGGCCAGUGUGGGGGCUAAUGAAUAAAUGCUACACUGUGCCCACUCAGGUGGGUAAGGGCUGGCACUCCUCUUCCCCUGGAGUGGGGCGGCUGUGCUGGCACCCUUGGCAGACACAGUAAGGGGGACUGCACCUGGAAAGGAUGGGCCAGUCGGGGCAGGACUACUCAUCACUCAUAGUGUGGGUGUCAGGGUUGUGUCACCCCUCCCACCUCCCUCUGCAGAGACGCAAAGUCAAGAGUAGGAAGAAGCCAACCUCUGAGGUAAGGCUUCCCCUGGAAGGCCCAGGGCUGGGGCUCUCUCCUUUCAGAGCUCAGUUAGACCCAGACACACGGCAGGGAGUCCCAAGGGUAGUGGCAGGCCCCCUCCAGGAAACUCACAAGGUUACCACAGCUCAACUGAAAAGGAAGAACUUCCCAGGACUGUGACACCCCAGUGUGAGAACAGGAGGAUGAGGUGCUCUGAAGGCCUUUCUGCCCAGUCUGCCCUCUUAUUCCUCCUGCAGGUCACGACCCCCAGGAGACCUGGAGGACUGAAUGCUGCUGCCCCCAAGGAGGAGGCUGCCGUCUUAUCCCAGGAGGGAGAGCAGGUGAAGUCCCCAGGGGAGGAAGCACCUAGCCCCAUUCCUGCUGAGCAGGAGGUGGCAGGUACCCCAGACUGGGAGGUAAGGACAGCCCGGGGCUUCGACUGAACGUCUCCAGCGUGGGUCCAACUGAGCAGCCAUGGAGCACUGCAGAGUGGGAGGCAGCAGGGCAGGGAGGCAGUGCUGGAGGCUGGCUCAACCCCAAGACCAGCAGGCCAAGCUGCCAUCCCAGGGGAGCGAGGACGUCUGUGCAGAGCUGAGAGGCAGCAGCCAUGUGUGAACAGACUGGGCCUCAUCCUGGCCCCACCGACUUUGUGUGGACAGAGCCUGUUUCCCUGUCUGUGCAACACAGAACCUGCCUGAUCUCACUGCUGGAUCCCUCUUCUUCCUGCCAGGAAAAUAAAAAGGUUCAAAAGGAAGUUGCUGCGUAUCCAUCUGAGGCCUCUGAGGACAGCAAAGAGCAAAGGCCCUGGGACCGGGUCUACGUGCCCAUGACAGAGCUCUGGCUGGACUGGUUCUGAGCCUCUAACACCCCCAAGACUCAGAACCGUGAAGAAAAUCUUUCCAAUAAAUCCAAGAGUUGCUGCUGCUAUAGGCCAGGCUGCCACCUUUCGGGGCCUCCGUCUUCAGACAAACCCAGCCUGGCUUCAUCCACACUCCCUGUCCCCACAGCUGCAGGAACAGCACUUCCUGCCACCGAGCCGUGUGACCACAGUGGAUUGUCUCUGGAGGGGCCCAAGGGGGCCCUGGCCACCCUUCUGACUGACUCGGUGCCAGGGGACAGACCAACGUCCCUCUCGUGCUGACAGCCGGGCCGCACCCUGGCAUGAGGGCAUUUACAGAAAUGCUGGCGGAACUGCUGCCAGGGAGGCUGUAGGGUCCUCUGGCAAAAGAGGCCUCAGGUGGCUCCUCAGAGUGUCUGUGGUUCUCUGUCCCAGGCUGUUCCCUAAGAAGGUCUGCCCAGGACUCAGGUAAUCAUAUGCUCAUUAGAAACUCUUGGGCACUGCCUGUGUGCCCAGCCCAGCCCAUUAUGUCGGUGAGGACAGACGUGGAGGACAGCAGUCCCUGCCCUUGGUUGGGGCUCCAGGCCAGCAAGGGCCACAGCCCCAGAAGGCAGAGCAGGAAGACAGGACUCGGGGCAGGUGAAGCAGCCUUCUCGUUGGCAGAAGGGAAACAGAAGCCCGGGGUGGGGAAGGGUGGGGAAGGGUGGGGAAGGGUGGGCCCGGGGUCACACGGGGUAAUGGCAGAGCAAGGACUAGGGUCAGGGUCUCUGGCUCUCAGCUGCCCAUGCCACCUCCUCCUUCUCUGCCCGCCCCAGUGCCUUAUGGGUCCAAGGUUGACUCCUGUCCCUAGGGCAGGCCUGUGGGCCCUGCCUGAUCCCUACUGGGAGGAUGGUACCUAGGGUUGGAGCCAAACAAGUGUCCUCCUCCAGCGCCAGCCUGGCCCUGAGUGCGAACUCGUCACUGGUCAGGGGUCCAGACAGCAGCAUCCCUGAGGGCCCAGAGAGGUGGCCAGUCCUGUGGUGAGGUUGAGAGGUGUCAACGUGCUGGUGGUCCUCGCUCGCUCUCAGCGCCUCCUCGGCCUCAGCUUCUGCUCUGACCACACUUGAGGAGCCCUUCAGCCCAGCGCUGCACUGUGGGAGCCCCUCUCUGGACUGGUGGAGGCUGGAGCCGGCUCCGUCUGCUUGCGGGGAGUAAGUCUUGCUGCUGCUGCUCCCUCAUUGGGUCCACACUGCCUUUAUGAGUUGUAACACUGGAAGGACUGCAGUUUCACUCCUGAGGCCAGUGAGACCACAAACCCACCAGGAAGAAUGAACAACUCCGUACGUGCAGCCUUAAGAGCCGUAACACUCACUGUGAAGGUCUGCAGCUUCACUCCUGAAGCCAGCAAGACCACGCACCCACCAGAAGGAAGAAACUCUGAACACGUCUUAACAUCAGAAGGAACAAACUCUGAACACACCAUCUUUAAGAACUGUAACACUCACCGUGAGGGUCCACGGCUUCAUUCUUGAAGUCAGUGAGACCAAGAACCCACCAAUUUUGGACACAAGGUGACAGGCUGAGGGCGGUGGCUCGGUCCUGGGUUUUCCUGGGGCCUUCCCAGGGAAUGUUCUGGCACCUGCCGACUGAGCCCUGGGAGGUAGCCCUGGCAUAUAGCUCCCUGACAUGA